AUAAAAUUUGGUUAAAUUUUGGUUUUUAGAUAGUUCUAAUAAUAUCAAUACUCGGUACUUAUAAGUUUUUCACCAUUAGAUCUAUCCUUUUGACUUAUUCUAGAUCAUGCGCUUUCACUAGCCGUUAACUAAAUUCUAGGGGACCACUAUUAUCCUAACUCUAUAAAUCUUCAUCUAAAAGCCGAAAAUCCAUAACCACCAAUAACUUAUGCUUUUAAAAUUUAAAAAAAAAAAUUGUUUAAGGAA
This 246-nucleotide long non-coding RNA is filed under the name Ananas comosus (pineapple). Its description in RNAcentral is "long non-coding RNA (ACOM_LNC020988)". Lineage: Eukaryota; Viridiplantae; Streptophyta; Magnoliopsida; Poales; Bromeliaceae. The record is from RNAcentral.